CACGUAGGGCGCAAGCGUUGUCCGGAAUUAUUGGGCGUAAAGAGCUCGUAGGCGGUUUGUUGCGUCGGCUGUGAAAUCCCGAGGCUCAACCUCGGGUCUGCAGUCGAUACGAGCAAACUAGAGUGUUGCAGGGGAGACUGGAAUUCCUGGUGUAGCGGUGAAAUGCGCAGAUAUCAGGAGGAACACCGGUGGCGAAGGCGGCAUCCUGGACCGGCAUUGACGCUGAGGCGCGAAAGCCAGGGGAGCAAACGGG
RNAcentral lists this ribosomal RNA (253 nucleotides) under uncultured bacterium. RNAcentral's name for it is "partial 16S ribosomal RNA". It matches the Rfam family "Bacterial small subunit ribosomal RNA", at positions 524 to 776 of the family's 1533-position model. The record is from RNAcentral.